This 476-nucleotide ribosomal RNA is filed under the name uncultured bacterium. RNAcentral's name for it is "bacterial SSU rRNA". It matches the Rfam family "Bacterial small subunit ribosomal RNA", at positions 50 to 518 of the family's 1533-position model. The record is from RNAcentral.
AACACAUGCAAGUCGCGGGGCAGCGAGGGUAGCAAUACCUGUCGGCGACCGGCGGAAGGGUGCGUAACGCGUGAGCAACUUGCCCGUGGUUGGGGGAUAACCGGUGGAAACGCCGCCUAAUACCCCGUAACAAUCGGAAUCCCAUGUUUCUGAUUUGAUAGGUAGCAAUACUGUCCACGGAUAGGCUCGCGUCCGAUUAGCCAGUUGGCGGGGCAACGGCCCACCAAAGCUACGAUCGGUAGGGGAUCUGAGAGGAUGGCCCCCACAUUGGGACUGAGACACGGCCCAAACUCCUACGGGAGGCAGCAGUGAGGAAUAUUGGUCAAUGGGCGGAAGCCUGAACCAGCCAUGCCGCGUGCGGGAUGUAGGUCCUAUGGAAUUGUGAACCGCUUUUGCAGUGGAGCAAUAAGGAUGUCGUGACAUUCGAUGAGAGUACACUGCGAAUAAGCAUCGGCUAACUCCGUGCCAGCAGCCGC